GUCUGGAUGGUCUAGUUGGUUAUGACAUCGGUCUCAUAGACUCUACUAUGAUCUUGCGCGUUAAACGUAAGAAGUUAUCCGAGGGCCGCGAGUUCGAAUCUCGCUCUGGACA
This 112-nucleotide transfer RNA is filed under the name Capronia coronata CBS 617.96. It matches the Rfam family "tRNA". From Rfam's summary of the family: Transfer RNA (tRNA) molecules are approximately 80 nucleotides in length. Their secondary structure includes four short double-helical elements and three loops (D, anti-codon, and T loops). Further hydrogen bonds mediate the characteristic L-shaped molecular structure. tRNAs have two regions of fundamental functional importance: the anti-codon, which is responsible for specific mRNA codon recognition, and the 3' end, to which the tRNAs corresponding amino acid is attached (by aminoacyl-tRNA synthetases). tRNAs cope with the degeneracy of the genetic code in two manners: having more than one tRNA (with a specific anti-codon) for a particular amino acid; and 'wobble' base-pairing, i.e. permitting non-standard base-pairing at the 3rd anti-codon position. Lineage: Eukaryota; Fungi; Ascomycota; Eurotiomycetes; Chaetothyriales; Herpotrichiellaceae. The record is from Rfam by way of RNAcentral.